This 761-nucleotide long non-coding RNA is filed under the name Canis lupus familiaris (dog). Its description in RNAcentral is "lncRNA (ENSCAFG00030013415.1)". The record is from RNAcentral. Lineage: Eukaryota; Metazoa; Chordata; Mammalia; Carnivora; Canidae.
CACAUGUUGGAGUGGGCACCAAACAAUACCAGAAUAACAUUCCCCUCUCUGGUCUCAAAAGAUGGAUGAGCCUCCAUGACCCCAUGAGAACAGAGGCAACCAGGGAAAAUCAACAGGGAUUGUUAAUAGAGAGAAGCCCACGCUGGACAGCAGAAGCCAUUGGCCAGGCACACAGCAGAGGAUCCAGCCUGCUGUUUGUAAUAAACUCUGAAAUGUGUGUCUAGCAGAUGCUGCUGACACAGGAAGCAUGUCACGAAGUACAAUGGUACUGCUGUGGAGCGAUGGAGCAGGUGAGUCUGUUAAAUGAUACAAUCUGCUCCCCUCUUCCACAUCAGCACUCAGAUCCUGGUUUCAGGAGCAGCCACUAGAGCCUUGUCCUCUCCAAACCAGGUUUUUCCUCUUCUCCCUGAUUACAGGGAGAGAGUAAGGUGACUGCCUCCACCCCCUCUACAAAUUCGGUAGUCCAGCUCUGAGCAGAGGGCCCUGUGCAGAUCCAGUGGCGUUAGGAGGCCGAAAGCCUUUGGUAAUCUGUAACUCUCAAGUAUAUGCAUGUUGUGAGGGCAACCACAGGAGAUUUUGAAGUCAACCUGCUUCUUUUUCAAAUCCUGUCUCCAUUGCCUUCUAGCUAGGAAAUGUUGGGAAUAUUCCUUGACUUCUCUCAUCUUCCAGUUUUCUCAGCUCUAGAAUGGAGCUUCUAAGACCUAUUCCUCAGGGUGGGAUUAAGAGAAAGAACAUGUGAAGCCCUUAGCUCUGUGUCUGUC